This 1408-nucleotide ribosomal RNA is filed under the name uncultured bacterium. RNAcentral describes it as "bacterial SSU rRNA". It matches the Rfam family "Bacterial small subunit ribosomal RNA". The record is from RNAcentral.
AGAGUUUGAUCCUGGCUCAGGAUGAACGCUAGCUACAGGCUUAACACAUGCAAGUCGAGGGGCAGCAUGGAAGUUUGCUUGCAGACUUUUGAUGGCGACCGGCGCACGGGUGAGUAACACGUAUCCAACCUGCCUCAUACUCGGGGAUAGCCUUUCGAAAGAGAGAUUAAUACCCGAUGUCAUAGUCCUACCGCAUGAUGGGAUUAUUAAAGAAUUUCGGUAUGGGAUGGGGAUGCGUUCCAUUAGUUAGUUGGCGGGGUAACGGCCCACCAAGACAACGAUGGAUAGGGGUUCUGAGAGGAAGGUCCCCCACAUUGGAACUGAGACACGGUCCAAACUCCUACGGGAGGCAGCAGUGAGGAAUAUUGGUCAAUGGACGAGAGUCUGAACCAGCCAAGUAGCGUGAAGGAUGACUGCCCUAUGGGUUGUAAACUUCUUUUAUAUGGGAAUAAAAUGUUCCACGUGUGGGAUUUUGUAUGUACCAUAUGAAUAAGGAUCGGCUAACUCCGUGCCAGCAGCCGCGGUAAUACGGAGGAUCCGAGCGUUAUCCGGAUUUAUUGGGUUUAAAGGGAGCGUAGGUGGAUUGUUAAGUCAGUUGUGAAAGUUUGCGGCUCAACCGUAAAAUUGCAGUUGAAACUGGCAGUCUUGAGUACAGUAGAGGUGGGCGGAAUUCGUGGUGUAGCGGUGAAAUGCUUAGAUAUCACGAAGAACUCCGAUUGCGAAGGCAGCUCACUGGACUGCAACUGACACUGAGGCUCGAAAGUGUGGGUAUCAAACAGGAUUAGAUACCCUGGUAGUCCACACAGUAAACGAUGAAUACUCGCUGUUUGCGAUAUACGGGCAAAGGGCCCAAGCGAAAGCAUUAAGUAUUCCCACCUGGGGGAGUACGCCGGCCAACGGCGAAACUUCAAAAGAAAUUGACGGGGGCCCGCACAAGCGGAGGACCAUGUGGGUUUAAUUCGAUGAUACGCGAGGAACCUUACCCGGGGCUUAAAUUGCACCUGGAUAAUGUGGAAACAUGUUAGCCGUAAGGCAGGUGUGAAGGCGCUGCAUGGUUGUCGUCAGCUCGUGCCGUGAGGUGUCGGCUUAAGUGCCAUAACGAGCGCAACCCUUGUCAUUAGUUACUAACAAGUAAUGUUGAGGACUCUAAUGAGACUGCCGGGGAGAACUCGGAGGAAGGUGGGGAUGACGUCAAAUCAUCAUGCCCCUUAUGUUCUGGGCUACACACGUGCUACAAUGGCCGGUACAGAGAGAAGCAAGACUGUGAAGUGGAGCAAAACUCAAAAACCGGUCCCAGUUCGGACUGCAGGCUGAAACUCGCCUGCACGAAGUUGGAGUUGCUAGUAAUCGCAGAUCAGAAUGCUGCGGUGAAUGCGUUCCCUGGGUCUUGCACACACCGCCCGUCAAG